UACGUAGGGCGCAAGCGUUGUCCGGAAUUAUUGGGCGUAAAGAGCUCGUAGGCGGCCUGUUGCGUCCGCUGUGAAAUCCCGGGGCUUAACCCCGGGCCUGCAGUGGAUACGGGCAGGCUGGAGGCAGGCAGGGGAGAACGGAAUUCCGUGGUAGCGGUGGAAUGCGUAGAGAUCCGGAAGAACACCAGUGGCGAAGGCGGCCCGCUGGGCAGUGGCUGACGCUGAGGCGCGACAGCGUGGGGAGCAAACAGG
RNAcentral lists this ribosomal RNA (252 nucleotides) under uncultured bacterium. RNAcentral's name for it is "partial 16S ribosomal RNA". It matches the Rfam family "Bacterial small subunit ribosomal RNA", at positions 524 to 776 of the family's 1533-position model. The record is from RNAcentral.